GGAUCAUUACGAAAAAAACGAGUUGCAAAAGACUCGAAAACCACCGUGAACCUACCUUCGUCGUUGCUUCGGCGGGCGGAGCCCCUUCCCCCCCUCGAGGGCGGGGGGCGCCGUAGCCCGAAAGGGUGCCCGCCGGAGGAACCCACCAGUAAACCUCUCGUGUCAUCGUGUCUCUCUGAGUCGACUGGCAAAUUCAGUUAAAACUUUCAACAACGGAUCUCUUGGUUCUGGCAUCGAUGAAGAACGCAGCGAAAUGCGAUAAGUAAUGUGAAUUGCAGAAUUCAGUGAAUCAUCGAAUCUUUGAACGCACAUUGCGCCCGCCAGUAUUCUGGCGGGCAUGCCUGUUCGAGCGUCAUUUCGACCCCUCAAGCCCGGCUUGGUGUUGGGGCCCCUACCUUCGCCGUAGGCCCCGAAUUGCAGUGGCGGGCUCGCCGUGAUCUCGAGCGUAGUAGUGUUACCUCGCUCAGGGCGCGCGGCGGGUGCCGGCCGUGAAACGAAGUGGGACCCUAAAAAAGUCCACACACACACAACACACAAGGUUGACCUCGGAUCAGGUAGGAAUACCCGCUGAACUUAAGCAUAUCAAUAAGCGGAGGAAAAGAAACCAACAGGGAUUGCCCCAGUAACGGCGAGUGAAGCGGCAACAGCUCAAAUUUGAAAUCUGGCCUCGGCCCGAGUUGUAAUUUGCAGAGGAUGCUUUAGGCGCGGCGCCUCCCGAGUCCCCUGGAACGGGGCGCCACAGAGGGUGAGAGCCCCGUAUGGUAGGACGCCUAGCCUGUGUAAAGCUCCUUCGACGAGUCGAGUAGUUUGGGAAUGCUGCUCAAAAUGGGAGGUAAAUUCCUUCUAAAGCUAAAUACCGGCCAGAGACCGAUAGCGUACAAGUAGAGUGAUCGAAAGAUGAAAAGUACUUUGAAAAGAGGGUUAAACAGCACGUGAAAUUGUUGAAAGGGAAGCGCUCGUGACCAGACUUGCGCCGGGGCGAUCAUCCGGUGUUCUCACUGGUGCACUCGUCCCGGCUCAGGCCAGCAUCGGUUCUCGCGGGGGGAUAAAAGUCCCGGGAACGUAGCUCCUCUGGGAGUGUUAUAGCCCGGGGCACAAUGCCCUCGCGGGGACCGAGGCCCGCG
RNAcentral lists this unclassified non-coding RNA (1124 nucleotides) under leaf metagenome. RNAcentral describes it as "partial contains internal transcribed spacer 1, 5.8S ribosomal RNA, internal transcribed spacer 2, and large subunit ribosomal RNA". The stretch from base 541 to 1124 matches the Rfam family "Eukaryotic large subunit ribosomal RNA", at positions 1 to 597 of the family's 3401-position model. The record is from RNAcentral.